UAGGGAAUAUUGCGCAAUGGGCGAAAGCCUGACGCAGCCAUGCCGCGUGUGUGAAGAAGGCCCUAGGGUUGUAAAGCACUUUCAGUGGUGAAGAAACCCCCGCGGUUAACACCUGCGGGAUUUGACGUUAACCACAGAAGAAGCACCGGCUAACUCCGUGCCAGCAGCCGCGGUAAUACGGAGGGUGCGAACGUUAAUCGGAAUUACUGGGCGUAAAGCGCACGUAGGCGGUUUGUUAAGUGGGAUGUGAAAUCCCCGGGCUCAACCUGGGAAUUGCAUUUCAAACUGACAGACUAGAGUGUAGUAGAGGGAGGUGGAAUUUCCUGUGUAGCGGUGAAAUGCGUAGAUAUAGGAAGGAACACCAGUGGCGAAGGCGACCUCCUGGACUAACACUGACGCUGAGGUGCGAAAGCGUGGGGAGCAAACAGGAUUAGAUACCCCCGUAGUCC
This 449-nucleotide ribosomal RNA is filed under the name uncultured prokaryote. RNAcentral's name for it is "bacterial SSU rRNA". It matches the Rfam family "Bacterial small subunit ribosomal RNA", at positions 355 to 796 of the family's 1533-position model. The record is from RNAcentral.